Molecule: long non-coding RNA, 1440 nt
Filed under: Monodelphis domestica (gray short-tailed opossum)
Lineage: Eukaryota; Metazoa; Chordata; Mammalia; Didelphimorphia; Didelphidae
Description: lncRNA (ENSMODG00000033191.2)
Source: RNAcentral
GGGACUUUCUGGUUGUCCUGGUGCUUUAGGAAUAUACCAUUUUGGUAGCUAUGUGGAAGAUGAAUUGGAAUUUGAGAUACUAAAAUUUGUUGUUUGGCCAUUUCAGUUACAUCCAAUUCAUUGUGACAUCUAUUGUGUUUUUCAUGGCAAACAUAAUAAAAUGACUGCCAUUCCCUUUUCCAGAUCAUUUUACAGAUGAGGAAGCUGAGUCUUCCUGACUUUAGGUCUCUCGCUCUAAUCCAAUGUGCCACCUACCUGCCUACCUGAAGGUAGAUUCUUCAAAGUCUCCAGGAAACAUACUAGUGUACAACAGAAGAAAUUACAAGGAUUGCUUUUAUAUGAAAAGGAGGGGAAGCAUGAAGCAUUGGAUAAAAUAUGGGGUUUGGACUCAGAGGAUCUGGGUUGGAAUUGUGCCUCUCCCACUAUCUCUGUGACCUUAGAUAGUGAAAACAUCUGUUCACCCACAAAGUGCUUCAUGCCAGCUGACACAGACCAGGAAGAGAAGCAGAAGAACACUGUUGACAUCAGCUAUCUACAUGCCAGCCACAAUCCAGGCACGCUGGAAGGACACUUCUUUGGUGACUAAUAUCACUCCAGAACAAUGACAUUACACUAUUAGAGACAUUUGCUAUUAGGCUACUGAUGGACACUUGUCAUGCUGACAUCCAUUGAUAUGUUGUACCCAGAACAACAUCAAGUAUGCUAACUCAGAAGGACUAAGACACAUUCAUGUCUGUAUAAGACACCAGAUAUAUCCCACACUCCAAAGACUACUAUGGGAUUGAGAUGAAAUAGCUACAAUUGUUUAGCUACUAAUGUAUAUCUUGUAUUUUGUAUAUGAUACUGUCAAAAGAAAUUUAUAUUGUAUUGCAUUGUAAAUCUACCACUUGUAUUGUAAGAAAUGCUACUAUCAACAAGGGUAUAGACAUUGGUAUGGCUCUACAAAGAGUAGGAAAUAGAAAACUUUCAUUCAUAGCAUAGAUCUGAUACCUCUGACAACAAAAAUGAGGUGCUAAGCAGAAGAUGCUGCACAGGCAUGUGUAAUGGACAGAUGAUACUGAUUUUACUCUCAAGAAAGGAUGAGAGAUCAGGCAAAGUGCACUAUGAAAUCUUUAAUCAGGGAUCUGAGUUAUUGUAAAAGAUCAUUGACAUCCAGGCAAAGAUUAUGUUCCUGACAAUACCUGGAUGGACAUUAUGGGCUGACUACCAUAGGUGUAGUUAAGUUUUAAUAUCGUUGUUAACCAUUAUUACUCCUGAUACCCUGUCUUUGUUGGUAAUAUCUUGAUAAGAACAGUUUCUUGCUCUAUCCCAACAGUCCCAGAAUUCAGACGGCUGCUGGAUUCAGGGUCUAUUGGCUUCCCUUUCACAUACUGGAAGACAUUCUAGUAUGUGAAAGUAAGACCUCAGGAGCAAACUGAGGACUCUGGGUUUGACAAUUUC